RNAcentral lists this ribosomal RNA (361 nucleotides) under uncultured Bartonella sp. RNAcentral describes it as "bacterial SSU rRNA". It matches the Rfam family "Bacterial small subunit ribosomal RNA", at positions 53 to 442 of the family's 1533-position model. The record is from RNAcentral. Lineage: Bacteria; Pseudomonadati; Pseudomonadota; Alphaproteobacteria; Hyphomicrobiales; Bartonellaceae.
ACAUGCAAGUCGAGCGCACUCUUUUGAGUGAGCGGCAAACGGGUGAGUAACGCGUGGGAAUCUACCCAUCUCUACGGAAUAACACAGAGAAAUUUGUGCUAAUACCGUAUACGUCCUAUUGGAGAAAGAUUUAUCGGAGAUGGAUGAGCCCGCGUUGGAUUAGCUAGUUGGUGAGGUAACGGCUCACCAAGGCGACGAUCCAUAGCUGGUCUGAGAGGAUGAUCAGCCACACUGGGACUGAGACACGGCCCAGACUCCUACGGGAGGCAGCAGUGGGGAAUAUUGGACAAUGGGGGCAACCCUGAUCCAGCCAUGCCGCGUGAGUGAUGAAGGCCCUAGGGUUGUAAAGCUCUUUCACCGG